Molecule: transfer RNA, 73 nt
Filed under: Dehalococcoidales bacterium
Lineage: Bacteria; Bacillati; Chloroflexota; Dehalococcoidia; Dehalococcoidales
Also listed under: 1 other name
Description: tRNA-Ala
Rfam family: tRNA
About the family: Transfer RNA (tRNA) molecules are approximately 80 nucleotides in length. Their secondary structure includes four short double-helical elements and three loops (D, anti-codon, and T loops).
Source: RNAcentral
GGGGCUGUAGCUCAGUAGGGAGAGCGCCUCGUUCGCAACGAGGAGGUAAGGGGUUCGAAUCCCCUCAGCUCCA